This 3342-nucleotide long non-coding RNA is filed under the name Equus asinus (donkey). Its description in RNAcentral is "lncRNA (ENSEASG00005030940.1)". The record is from RNAcentral. Lineage: Eukaryota; Metazoa; Chordata; Mammalia; Perissodactyla; Equidae.
CAGUGUUUUAUGUAAACAUGGUACUCAUUUAAGCCUACAUUAUUAUUCAUGGGAAUUAUUUUUAAAAAUUACUGUUAUAUCUGUAACUACUGUUCUAAACUUUAAUCUACUUGCAUCUUCAAGGUAAGGACAAAUCAUAAAGCCUACUCUAAAUGCUUUUAAAGCAACAGGGAUCAGUAAGAAAGAGCACAAAGAGGGUUAUGAGCAAAGGAUCUAGAAAAAGAUGGCAAACUCAAGAAACUGAUGCAUAGAGAGUAGGAAUUUAAAACCUCAACUCAACUAUUAUAAAGGCAAAAUGGCAGUAGUGACAAAUUUGGGGGCUAAUUCUUUCCAAUCUAAUUCUGGAGUUGGCAAACUUUUCUGUCAAGUGCCAGAUAAAAAAUAUUUUCAGGCUUUGUAGGCCAUGUGGUAUCUGUCACAAGUACUCAAUUUGCCAUUACAGUAGAAAGUAGCCAUAAACAACACCUAAAUGAAUAGGUGUGGCCCUAUUCCACUGUCACUUUCUUUACACAAACAGGUGGCCUCAGGAUUUGGCCCGGGGGCUGUAGUCUGAUGAACCUUGAUCUAAUUCAUAAGUCUUAGGGAUAUAUUUUGCUAAGGGGCAUCCUCUCAAACUUAGGGAUUUACCUGACUUAAUUACUUGUCCCUUUUCUAAAUCUCAGCAACCAAAAUGGUUCAAUAUUUUGCACUCUUUCCCAUAUGGUAUAAGUGAAGAGCCCCAUUUUCAAAGACUGAGUUCAAGAAAGACUUAUCUGUUAUUCCUUGAACUAAUAAGUACACAGAUAAGGAGAAGGGCAUUUGAGGAAGAGAAAAAAAUCACAUCUGUUGUAUCUGAGAAAACAGAAACUUCCAGGAUUCCAACUCCUUCCUAAUUAAAUGCCUUUCCACUGUGAUUAAGAAGAGUUUUGUCUUUGUUUAAUUUCCUUUCCAUUACCCAUUGCUUUCAUUUCUUUAAACUAAAUCUUCUAGUCAAACAAAAUUUAUUUCUUGCCUAAAGACUAUUCAGCUAUUAAGGACGAAGUUGACUGCUUCACUCUUCCACCAGACCACGUCCAACCAAGGCCAGAUUUCAGCUAUGAAGUUAGGAGGAAAGUGGUUUAUUUCUAUCGUCAUACCAUCUUUGGGAAUCCCUGUUUCAAUGAUGCAGAAGGAUCUGGAAACAUUAAAAAAUACUAAAAAACAAAAUAAAAAAACUUUCCUUAAUUGCUAUCUCCCUUCUUUUCCACUCUUUAUCCUUGAGGAACUAAUUUAUUUUUAUGUAUUCAAAGUUAGAUUCAACCUUCUGGUAUAAUGAAAUGGGGUGGGGGUAUUUUGCAACUUACAUAAAAUAAAACAACUCAGUUCAGAGGUAAAUAUGGUUCUGAGUAAAGAGAGAACAAGUCAUUAGAAAGAGCCUUUCUGCCUAAGUACAGUGUUUCUGUUCAUGCCAAUGCUAUAUUUUAUACUGGUAUCAGAGUUCAGAGAGAAUAAAAGGUACCUCUUAGAAUGAAAGUAGAUUAUAUAUUGCCAUCUCUCUUCUUUUGCUGAGAAUAUUAGGUAGCUCCUUUGCUAUUAAGUGCCACUCAAUGCAUGAAAACAGUCCCAGUGUUUGCUAUUUCAUGGCAUUAAAGUACUUAAUGAUGAUUUAGCUCUCAUUGCUAACGCAGUUCCCUUCACAAGGUGACAUGUGCAAGUUAAGAUUUGGUAAUGACUUUUCAGCAUUAGCUAAAGUCCAUUUAGUAUAUCCUUAAGAGAGGUAUCCUCUGUGCACACACCAACAUAUCUAUUCAUUAGUGUAGAUAGAACACUACUAACUCCUAUGACCUACAGUGACGUCAGCUAAGAACUAGGACAAUGUCACAGUGAACCUGGAUAAGAAACUUGGAUAGUUACUUAGAAUAAUAACACCUCAUAUAACUAAAAUGGGGAAAUUGCUUUCAGAAACUUUAAUUUGUUGAAGAGCUAGCCUGGCUUGAAUCUUCAUGAAUUUCAUGGCUCUGGGCCAGACCAAUUAAGAGGAAAAAACCAGCAAAGAGGAUUGUGCUGAUGUGGUCCUAGACGACGGGGGAGCACUCUAUUCACAGUAUCAAUGCAGCAAAAACCUAUUAGAAGUGAAUGAAAACGGAGGGGGAACCCAACAAACACUCAUGGCAUUUCCACAUCUAUGAGACAGUCCCUACGUCAUUUAAAAUGUUUGUUGCUAACCGUGGAUGGAGUACUGACAAAUGCUGCAAAGUUUCUCUUUACAGAAAUUACUGCACUUCACCUUCACAAUUUGGUAAUAGUUUUAAAAAGCUCUAUUUUCUCACAUAAAAAUCUAAGAAACUAACACAGCAAUAAAGAACUUUCCAGUAUACUACUUCCCAAAAGUAGGAUGGACUUAAAAUUUUUUGGUAGGCUUAAAAGCUCCAUCUAAAGCAGCAUAUUCUGUACUUCUCACCUCCCUGCCUAUUUACUAACGGCAAAAUCUGUCCACUGAAAGCCUUGAUUACCAAAUGUUUCCCUAAAGAUUUUAGUCUAAUUUCAACUCCACUUUUUCUAUGCCACAGAACACAGCUGAUCCCAACAUGGCCUAGGCGACAGUUUUUAUCCUGUUUUGUCGUUGCCCAACUAAAGAGGAGAAUGUCCCAGUCUGUUUUGUAAAGACAAAAUACAGCUUCAACACUACAUUUAAGGGUAGGUUCUUAUCAAAUGUAGCAUCAUUACAUUCCUAUUAAAAUAUGCAUUUUAAUGUUUUUCCACGAGAGAAAAUAACCAUUCUCCAGUGAUAUGGUGCAGCUGUAUGUAUAUGUACAAUUCUCAGAUUGCUUAAGAGUGACCCUUUGCAUUCGAAAUUCCUAUCAUCAAAGAAAUGCCGUUCUUUUCUACCCAACCUUUCCACAUACCAGAAACUACUAUCAGGAAGGGAGCACACUGCUAACAUUCUCACAAAUGGCUCACCAGUGCUGGCGUGACCAGCCCCUCUCCCAAAUCUCUUUUACAAUCAUCUACGCCUCUGCACCAAAAGAGUUUCUUAAACCACUACAUAUUUAAAUACUCUUUAAAAAAAUUAGAGAUCAAUUAAGAGAAGAUAGAGAUUUUUCUCUUUUCUAUUUGCACUGUAACUUGUAAGCAUCUACUUGCCUGCAUCCUUUAAUAAUCCUCCUUCAUUCUCUGCAUGCAAAACAGGGCAUCUAAGGCUCUACAAGUUUGGUAAGUUCUCUCUGACUCUCAGUGCUGGAUUAAGAAUCUCAGAAAUACCCAGAAUUACCAAAAAGGUCCCUUGAAGUUUUAAAAAUCUUAGGAAUGAUUAAGUAACCAAACCUGAUCAAAAUUGAUGCCUUGAUCAAUUUAUUGCAACACGAUUGUGCAUGAUGUUUUCUG